CUCCGGCCCAGAAACCAACAAAGGGGUUUGGUGGUUGUCUUGAGGCGAGCCAGAACUGUGUCCGUCUCCUCUUAACUCGGACGCAAGAAAGGGUGUCCCGUCGCCGGAGAGAGAGAGGAGAGAGAGAGAGAGAGAAAGAGGACGACGCGAGGGGUUUGCGGCUUCGACGGAGGCGUGGCGUCGACUGAAUCGGUGUGGAAAGCGGCAGCGGCGACGGUGGAGGAGGAGGAUUUGAUGGUGGAGGAAGUCAGCGCUGAAGCGGCGGGGGAGACGGAGGAGGAACUCAGGAAUGAGGAGAAGCUGGGGCUAGGGCUGACCUUGGGGUGGCUAGGAAGGGGAAGCCGUUGCCGGCGCCGUGGGGCCGUGCUGGCGCAUCUUGACCGCCAAGAACUUCCCCUCCCUGGCGUCGCGCGCCUCUCCGAUGUCCCCAACCGCCUCCUUGGUCUCCUUGUCCUCCGGCACCAACCCGGGUUCGCCGGGACUAAGCGGGCGGCAGAAUCCGUCUCCCCUGACUCCCCUCCUCCCCGUCUCAGUGAGCGAACAGUCAGGUGGCAGUGGGAUGGCCACCUAUCAGGGCCUUCAGGAUGAACAGAUUGUUCAACCAUUCCAAAGAUAGUACCUCCAAUUCCCUCAAGAAGACCAACCUCAUCAUUGGCAACAAUGAUCAGGAGAAUAAAGGAAAAGAAACAAGGAAUUCAUUAUUUGGUAAAUUGAAAUGGAUGGUGAUCCUAUAUGUUGGAAGAUGGAUCUCAUUGCCCAUCAUUCUCAUUAAUCUCUUGAAGUUGCACUUGAUCUCAUGUUUCAGAAGCCUACUAUGGGCCCUGCCCUUUGGCCUCUAUCUGUGAGUUCAUUAUCUGUAAUUAUAUCAUUAUAUAGUUAAUCUUCCUGAUGUAUGCAAGUGCAGAGCUUAAGAUCUAAGCGAUAAUUUCUCGUUCUCCAUUAGGGAGAUUCUAUGUCAUAGUGGAAAUCAAUUUAUAGAUGUCUGCCUAUUGUGCAGCAUAGGAAUUGAAAUAAAAUCGGCAGUUAUCUGUAUUUUUUGUGGUAUGUUGGGAUGUGGUGGAGUUACUUAUUAUAUUGGUGUAAAUGAUGGCAGAUGGAGCAAAGGUUUCAAAGUUGUUAGAUGGUCCGUCUGAGUUUUCUCUUACUUAUGAAGACAAGGAUGGGGACUGGAUGCUGGUUGGAGAUGUGUCUCGAACGAAUGGUUUUGGAAACAGUGAAGAGACUUAGAAUUAUGAGGAAGCAAAUGGGCUGUCAGUCUGUUCAUUUUGGAGAGCACCAGGAUUUCAGUCCCUCAACAAGGCCAGUGAAGCAAUAGGAAGCAGUCCCGGCAUAACAGCUGGAAACAGAAUGAGGUACCUAGAUCAAUUAGAGGAACUCUGGAGUAUGUAUUACACAGAAGAAAAGAGAUGAAACAAUUAGAGGAACCUAGAUCAAUUUGGGCAAAAAACAUAUUUGCCCUUGUUUUUGGUGGUCGAUUAGGUUCAUGAUUUCUCUGUGGUCAUUCAUGGCUGACCACUCCCGGCAUGCUUGCUGCUUCAAUGCUGCAACUGUUUCACAGUUUUCUACUGAAUACAAUACAUGGUUUUGGAUA
Musa acuminata AAA Group (dessert banana) is the source of this 1591-nucleotide RNA transcript. It is a transcript of the gene named auxin-responsive protein IAA13-like, with no coding region annotated. The transcript is spliced from 4 exons. The record is from RefSeq and is a predicted model, not a curated record. NCBI's taxonomy places the organism in Eukaryota, Viridiplantae, Streptophyta, Magnoliopsida, Zingiberales, Musaceae.